Molecule: long non-coding RNA, 1111 nt
Filed under: Drosophila guanche
Lineage: Eukaryota; Metazoa; Arthropoda; Insecta; Diptera; Drosophilidae
Source: RNAcentral
GUCUGUGUUUGUUUAGCAGCUCGUUAAGUUCGUUCCUCUUUCUGAGUUGAACGAUGCCAUUGACGUUUUGGAACAUUAUUUUUACUGGCAUUUUAGUUGAGUGCGAUUUGGAUCAGGAAGUCGAGGAUUAGCUGUUGCUUCCCUUUUUUGUCCGAGCUGGUGUUUGGGUACUUCUUGACCAAGGACUGCAUGAUGUCGAAGCAGGUAAGCAGAUCCUUUCCAAAUGCGUCCACUGAGUCUCCGUUCAGCUGUUCGAAAGAGAAACUGGCGUUGUUUUCAGCCUUUUGUUGUUUCUCAUGGUUAAAUCUCGGAGUUACUUUCUGUUGUGCAGGUGUUGGUGUUGGUCCGGUUUUGGCUGCUGAGGCGUAGCUUCGUCCCUUUUCUACUCUGUUUCGAGUAGGUGCAGGUGUUGCGAUUGUCUUGGCUGCUCUCUUUUGCGUGAGAUUUUGCCUUUCUGUGACUUUCUUUAGGUAUUCCAUACGUACGGGGCAAAUCUUUGCAUUGGCCGUAUGGUUACCUGUGCAGUGGACGCAGGUCUAUCUGAAUCAUCCACAGUUUGUCCUUGUAGGCCUUGACUGACAUUAUAUUUAGUUCAGGUACGGCCUCGACUAGGGCUUCUUUUACCUCCUCUGCAGUGUAUAUUUCGAGAGGCAGUUUUCUUAAAAUGACCGUAUGCGGCUUUAUUUGUUUAGGUGUGUAACUGUAGUAUAGCACCUUGUUCUUGUUAAAUUUCUCCUUGGUUAGGUUGAAUUCUGCCAGGGAGAAGAGCUUAACAUGGAUGACAUUUUUGUUCACUAUAUUUAGUGUGAACUUUUUUGAUGUGUCCUUCAUUAGUUUUGUCAGUGCCUUUGGGUUUUUUUCAUAUGUUACAAUGACCGGUAGACCUUUUUCUUUUAAAGGUUCUGCUACCUGCUGUUUCCUGGGCGUUGGUUUUUUGAUCCCCGCAAGUCCAGUGGGCUUGGGUGGUGUUGGUAGGAUCGGGAAUUCGUUAUAGCCUAACUCAUCCUCACCUGGGGCUUGGUUGGUUAAGACACUGGAACUCUCGUUGUUAUUUGCUGUUUUUUUGUGUUGGGGGUUUGGUGUUUUUUGUUUUUUAGGGGUUGAUGCUGGU